UACGUAGGCAGCAAGCGUUGUUCGGAAUUACUGGGCGUAAAGAGUGUGUAGGCGGUGCUCUAAGUUCGGUGUGAAAUCUCCCGGCUCAACUGGGAGGGUGCGCUGAAAACUGGGGUGCUCGAGGGUGGGAGAGGUAAGCGGAAUGCCGGGUGUAGUGGUGAAAUGCGUAGAGAUCCGGCGGAACACCGGUGGCGCAGGCGGUCCCCUGGGCCGAGGCCGACGCUGGGGCGCGAGAGCGCGGGGAGCGAACCGG
Molecule: ribosomal RNA, 253 nt
Filed under: uncultured bacterium
Lineage: Bacteria
Description: partial 16S ribosomal RNA
Rfam family: Bacterial small subunit ribosomal RNA
Source: RNAcentral